UGUGAUAGCACCAAAGUGCUCCAGCCUGGGUGACAGCGUAAAACCCUGUCUCAAAUAAAUAAAUGGAGCAAUACAAAGGAGCUCCCUUCAUAUACCUGCAGAUCCCUCAGGAUGAGGUACAUCUCCUGGUGGUCUCUCAAAAGAAGGGAUUCAUGCUUUGAGAAGAAGAAUAAACAUUUAUGGAAAGUUAUCUGUGAGCCAAACAGUGCAAAUAUGUUAUCUCAUUUAAUUCCUAUAGCUCCAAGUGGUAGGUAGGCUUUAUUAUUUCCAUUUUACAUGUUAGACAUUAAGUGAUAAAUAAUGUCUGAAGUCUUGAGGCUAAUAGAAAAUGGCAAUAAGAUCUUUCUCUGCUUGAAUUCAAAGCCCACAGGAGGUAGUGUGAAAAGUGAGUUUUUGGGAAGAAAAACCACUUUCUGCUUGGAGAAGAGAUGAAAAUGGAUUUUUCAUUUAUGGAGCUCAGGCUCUUGCUAUACAGCCCAUGAAACCUCCUCUAAACAGGACUGGCUUGGACAUUAUCCUUUAACUACUCUAGAUCUGACAGCCACGGGGCUAAGCAGCCUCUCUAAGAUACCUCUUGAACUCAGGACUGCUUGUGGAAAUAGAAAAGACUAUGAUGAUGGGAACUGGAGUUUCUGCAAAUCACAGAUGAGUGUAAGGCCAUUUACUGGACUUUUUUCCCAGCUUCAGGAUCCAGUCACCAAUCUAAAAUCGCUGGUAGUCUUUAAGUUUUAAAAUCCUCCUUAGUCAUUUAAAAACGUGGUAGUACAGAACAUCGCUCUAGUCCAUCUGAAGCAAAGAAGACUGGAAAGGGAACCAUGAAGUGCCCGUUCGAGACCAGGAUUGGUUAUUAAUAAAACCCUAGACCUAUCAAGUGGAUGGUUGUGGGAAUCAAACAUGAAAGCACUCUGAAAAUUAUCAAGCACUGCACUCUAGUAAGAUCAUUUAUUCAUUCAUCAAUUUUUCAGAAACGAUUUCCUGAGCACCAGUCAUAUCUUAGGCACUAGGUUAGGCACAGGAACCACACAAAAAAAGACACCAGUUCUUGCUUGCUGGUAAUUCUAGCCAUGCAAAACUCAUCAUUAAGUAUUUAUUGAAUGUCUACCACUGGCCCUGUGAUACCAAUUAUUACCUUUCCAUUAGAGUGCAAUGACUGUUCCAUUACAGGCUUGAAAGAGUUAAUGUGCUGCAAAUGCCUUUGUGCCUGGGGAGUUCUGCACCACCUCUGCCCGGGCUGCAGAUGCAUUAGGCUCCAAGUAUGUAUUUUCUUUUCCCUUCUGUUUAUGUCUCUGUUUUCUGUGAAGUCUGCUAAACUGCAGCAGUAUCUUCCAAGUUCUCUGACAAUGUUAUAAAUUUCAUUAAGAAGAUGUAGCCUUCUGGGGCAAUUAACUCCAAAAGUGGUACAAAGCCAUAGCAAGGAGAUACUGGCCUGUAGUACUUAGCACUUAGCUCUGAAAUUGAGAUAAGCCCUAUCAACCCGGGGUUGUGUUUAAUGUUCGCUGCAGCUUCCAUACCACAGCUACAACCUAGCGGUCACCGUGUUAACACUCCCCAAUAUCUAUUACAAUUAGUUUUUGAUUAAGAGGCCUAACAUGGCUUUUGAAGCUUUUUAUGUUGUGUCAAAUGGCUAGUGAUGGAGUGAGAUGCACAGACACCUCCCGGUAACAAAGCAUAUUGUAAAAGGUUUCGAGUGAACUAUUUUAUCAUCCUAAUGGAAACCAGAUGACUCGAACUCCCCCCUUAAUUUCAACUAUUUACUGAAGAGUCCUUGUUUUGAAUUACUGAAAGAUUUAUCCUUAAAUGACUAGCUCAUGCAUUAAGAAUCGCUAAUAACAGAGCCAUUUGGAAUUUGGGAAAGCUUUUAUAGAUGACCGAAGCAAUGUUCACAGAGGUUUUAUUUUAUUUUAUUUUACUUUAUUUUUCGUUUGAUUUUUAAAGAGCAAAUAUCUUUGCUCUUUCCUAGUGUUUAAUUAUUACUUUAGUUAUUUGUUUAUGAGGCCUUUCUCAGUUGAGUUAUACUGUCUCUGCCAGGGUUUCAGUCAGUAGUCUUGGCCUGUUGUUUAAGAAAGAGGUCACUGGUAUUUUGUGAGAGAAACUUUGUUUAGUUAUGUAAGAUGUAAUUCUUUGUGAACUGAAAAUAUAUGCUAUUUUUGUAAAGGCCAUUCGAUGAAACAAAGUACAAUUAUUUAAAAAUUCCUUUGUAGAUUAAAAAGCUGAAAAUCUGAA
Macaca mulatta (Rhesus monkey) is the source of this 2223-nucleotide non-coding RNA. The record is from RefSeq and is a predicted model, not a curated record. Lineage: Eukaryota; Metazoa; Chordata; Mammalia; Primates; Cercopithecidae.